Molecule: ribosomal RNA, 737 nt
Filed under: uncultured bacterium
Lineage: Bacteria
Description: bacterial SSU rRNA
Rfam family: Bacterial small subunit ribosomal RNA
Source: RNAcentral
UGAACGCUGGCGGCAGGCUUAACACAUGCAAGUCGAGCGGGGAAAGGUAGCUUGCUACUGGACCUAGCGGCGGACGGGUGAGUAAUGCUUAGGAAUCUGCCUAUUAGUGGGGGACAACAUUCCGAAAGGAAUGCUAAUACCGCAUACGUCCUACGGGAGAAAGCAGGGGACCUUCGGGCCUUGCGCUAAUAGAUGAGCCUAAGUCGGAUUAGCUAGUUGGUGGGGUAAAGGCCUACCAAGGCGACGAUCUGUAGCGGGUCUGAGAGGAUGAUCCGCCACACUGGGACUGAGACACGGCCCAGACUCCUACGGGAGGCAGCAGUGGGGAAUAUUGGACAAUGGGGGGAACCCUGAUCCAGCCAUGCCGCGUGUGUGAAGAAGGCCUUAUGGUUGUAAAGCACUUUAAGCGAGGAGGAGGCUACUAGUAUUAAUACUACUGGAUAGUGGACGUUACUCGCAGAAUAAGCACCGGCUAACUCUGUGCCAGCAGCCGCGGUAAUACAGAGGGUGCGAGCGUUAAUCGGAUUUACUGGGCGUAAAGCGUGCGUAGGCGGCCAUUUAAGUCAAAUGUGAAAUCCCCGAGCUUAACUUGGGAAUUGCAUUCGAUACUGGAUGGCUAGAGUAUGGGAGAGGAUGGUAGAAUUCCAGGUGUAGCGGUGAAAUGCGUAGAGAUCUGGAGGAAUACCGAUGGCGAAGGCAGCCAUCUGGCCUAAUACUGACGCUGAGGUACGAAAGCC